This 468-nucleotide ribosomal RNA is filed under the name uncultured bacterium. RNAcentral describes it as "partial 16S ribosomal RNA". It matches the Rfam family "Bacterial small subunit ribosomal RNA", at positions 28 to 507 of the family's 1533-position model. The record is from RNAcentral.
GACGAACGCUGGCGGCGUGCUUAACACAUGCAAGUCGAACGGAAAGGCCCUGCUUUUGUGGGGUGCUCGAGUGGCGAACGGGUGAGUAACACGUGAGUAACCUGCCCUUGACUUUGGGAUAACUUCAGGAAACUGGGGCUAAUACCGGAUAGGAUCUCCUGCUGCAUGUUGGGGGUUGGAAAGUUUCGGCGGUUGGGUAUGGACUCGCGGCUUAUCAGCUUGUUGGUGGGGUAGUGGCUUACCAAGGCUUUGACGGGUAGCCGGCCUGAGAGGGUGACCAGCCACAUGGGGACUGAGAUACGGCCCAGACUCCUACGGGAGGCAGCAGUGGGGAAUAUUGCACAAUGGGCGGAAGCCUGAUGCAGCAACGCCGCGUGCGGGAUGACGGCCUUCGGGUUGUAAACCGCUUUCGCCUGUGACGAAGCGUGAGUGACGGUAAUGGGUAAAGAAGCACCGGCUAACUACGUG